GAAUUUUUUUGGGAUUUUUUUGGGAUUUUUUUGGGAUUUUUUUGGGGGUUUUUGGGUCGUUUCCGGCCCCCGGAAAAAUUCCCAAAAUUCACCCAAAAUUCCCCUAAAAAUCCCCAAAAUUCCCAAAAUUCACCCCAGAAUUCCCCCAAAAAUUCCCAAAAUUCACCCAAAAUCCCCAAAAAUUCCCAAAAUUCCCAAAAAAUCCCAAAAAAAUCCCCCAAAAUCUCCAAAAUUCCCCCAAAAAAUCCCCAAAAAAUCCCUAAAAUUUCCCAAAAUUCACCAAAAAAACCCAAAAAUUCCCCCCAAAAUUCCCAAAAUUCCCCCCCAAAAUCCCCAAAAAUUCCCAAAAUUCACCCAAAAAAUCCCCAAAAUUUCCCAAAAUCCCCGAAAAAUCCCCCAAAAAUCCCCAAAAAUUCCCAAAAAUUCACCCAAAAAAUUCGCAAAAUUCCCCAAAAAGUCAUAAAAUUCCCCCAAAAAAUCCCCAAAAUUCCCAAAAUCCCCCCAAAUCCCCCGAAAAUUCCCAAAAUUCACCCAAAAAUCCCCAAAAAAUCCCCAAAAAAUCCCCCAAAAUCUCCAAAAUUCCCAAAAUUCCCCAAAAAUUCCCCAAAAAUUCCCCAAAUUCCCCCAAAAUCUCCAAAAUUCCCAAAAUUCACCCAAAAAUCCCCCAAAAUUAACAAAAUUUCCCAAAAAAUCCCCCAAAAUUCCCAAAAUUCACCCAAAAAGUCCCCGAAAAAUCCCAAAAUUCACCCAAAAAUCCCCCCAAAAAAUCCCCCAAAAAUCCAAUAUCUCCAAAAUUCCCAAAAUUCACCCAAAAAUCCCCAAAAUUCCUCAAGAUUCCUCCAAAAUUCCCCCAAAUUCCCCCAAAAUUUCCCCCAAAUCCUCAAAAAUUCCCAAAAUUCCCCCAAAAUUCCCCCAAAAUUCCCCCAAAAAAUCCCCCAAAAAUCCCCCAAUAUCUCCAAAAUUCCCCCAAAAUUCCCCAAAAAUUCCCAAAAUUCACCCAAAAAUCCCCAAAAUUUCCCAAAAUCCCCGAAAAAUCCCCAAAAUUCCCCCCAAAAUUCCCCCCAAAAAAUCCCAAAAAAAUCCCCCAAAAUCUCCAAAAUUUCCCAAAAUUCACCCAAAAAUUCUUAA
This 1128-nucleotide long non-coding RNA is filed under the name Cyanistes caeruleus (blue tit). RNAcentral describes it as "lncRNA (ENSCCEG00000011806.1)". The record is from RNAcentral. Lineage: Eukaryota; Metazoa; Chordata; Aves; Passeriformes; Paridae.